GACGAACGCUGGCGGCGUGCUUAACACAUGCAAGUCGAGCGGUAAGGCCCUUCGGGGUACACGAGCGGCGAACGGGUGAGUAACACGUGGGUGACCUGCCCUUAGCUCUGGGAUAAGCCUGGGAAACUGGGUCUAAUACCGGAUAUGACCUCAUGACGCAUGUUGUGGGGUGGAAAGCCUUGUGCGGCUAGGGAUGGGCCCGCGGCCUAUCAGCUUGUUGGUGGGGUGAUGGCCUACCAAGGCGACGACGGGUAGCCGGCCUGAGAGGGCGACCGGCCACACUGGGACUGAGACACGGCCCAGACUCCUACGGGAGGCAGCAGUGGGGAAUAUUGCGCAAUGGGCGGAAGCCUGACGCAGCGACGCCGCGUGAGGGAUGACGGCC
Molecule: ribosomal RNA, 385 nt
Filed under: uncultured bacterium
Lineage: Bacteria
Description: bacterial SSU rRNA
Rfam family: Bacterial small subunit ribosomal RNA
Source: RNAcentral